AUACGUAGGGGGCGAGCGUUGUCCGGAAUGAUUGGGCGUAAAGGGCGCGUAGGCGGCCCGGUAAGUCUGGAGUGAAAGUCGUGUUUUUAAGAUGGGAAUUGCUUUGGAUACUGUCGGGCUUGAGUGCAGGAGAGGUAAGUGGAAUUCCCAGUGUAGCGGUGAAAUGCGUAGAGAUUGGGAGGAACACCAGUGGCGAAGGCGACUUACUGGACUGUAACUGACGCUGAGGCGCGAAAGUGUGGGGAGCAAACAGGAUUAGAUACCCUGGUAGUCCACACUGUAAACGAUGAAUGCUAGGUGUAGGGGGUAUCGACCCCUUCUGUGCCGCAGUCAACACAAUAAGCAUUCCGCCUGGGGAGUACGGCCGCAAGGUUGAAACUCAAAGGAAUUGACGGGG
RNAcentral lists this ribosomal RNA (397 nucleotides) under uncultured bacterium. RNAcentral describes it as "partial 16S ribosomal RNA". It matches the Rfam family "Bacterial small subunit ribosomal RNA", at positions 523 to 918 of the family's 1533-position model. The record is from RNAcentral.